GACGAACGCUGGCGGCGUGCUUAACACAUGCAAGUCGAGCGGAAAGGCCACUUCGGUGGUACUCGAGCGGCGAACGGGUGAGUAACACGUGAGUAAUCUGCCCCUGGCUUUGGGAUAGCCACCGGAAACGGUGAUUAAUACCGAAUAUGACAGACCCUCGCAUGGGGGUGUGUGGAAAGUUUUUCGGCCAGGGAUGUGCU
This 200-nucleotide ribosomal RNA is filed under the name uncultured bacterium. Its description in RNAcentral is "partial 16S ribosomal RNA". It matches the Rfam family "Bacterial small subunit ribosomal RNA", at positions 28 to 231 of the family's 1533-position model. The record is from RNAcentral.